UGGUGGUGGCUUUAAUCCCAGCACUUGGGAAGCAGAGGCAGGCAGAUUUCUGAGUUCCAGGACAGCCUGGUCUACAGAGUGAGUUCCAGGACAGCCUGGGCUACACAGAGAAACCCUGUCUCGGAAAAACCAAAAAAAAAAAAAAAAGGUAUAAGUAUAGGUAUAGGUAUAGAUUUUUGAGACAGGGUUUCUCUGUGUAGUCUUAGCUGUCCUAGAACCAGCUCUGUAGACCCGCUGGUCUCAAACCACCUGCCUCU
Molecule: small RNA, 257 nt
Filed under: Mus pahari (shrew mouse)
Lineage: Eukaryota; Metazoa; Chordata; Mammalia; Rodentia; Muridae
Description: predicted gene, 54720 (MGP_PahariEiJ_G0008191.1)
Source: RNAcentral